GGACUACCGGGGUUUCUAAUCCUGUUUGCUCCCCACGCUUUCGUGUCUCAGUGUCAGUAUCUAUCCAGAUAGUCGCCUUCGCCACUGGUGUUCCUUCCAAUAUCUACGCAUUUCACCGCUACACUGGAAAUUCCACUAUCCUCUACAGUACUCUAGUCCAACAGUCUUAAACGCAGUUCCAAGGUUAAGCCCUGGGAUUUCACAUCUAACUUAUUAAACCACCUACACACGCUUUACGCCCAGUCAUUCCGAUUAACGCUUGCACCCUCUGUAUUACCGCGGCUGCUGGCAC
This 292-nucleotide ribosomal RNA is filed under the name uncultured bacterium. RNAcentral describes it as "partial 16S ribosomal RNA". The record is from RNAcentral.